Molecule: RNA transcript, 1372 nt
Organism: Triticum aestivum (bread wheat)
Lineage: Eukaryota; Viridiplantae; Streptophyta; Magnoliopsida; Poales; Poaceae
Exons: 2
Source: RefSeq, a predicted model, not a curated record
AUGCGAGCACCGUGGCAGGUCCGGCGUGGCGCCGCUGCUCGGCCACGCCACCUCCGUCCACCAGCGCGUCGCGCUUCAGCCGCCGGUCUCACCAUGCCGGUAUGCCGCUCGCCCAGGGUGGCCAACCGCACGGCGGCGACGGGCGCAGGGAGCGGUGACGGCUGUGCGACGGUGAGAUGGACCGGCGCCGGGGACGGAGCAGGGCGGCACCGGCUGUGCGACGGCGAGGUGGAGCGUCGUCGGGGACGGAGCAGGGCGGCGGCGGCUGUGCGACGGCGAGGUAGAGCAGCGCCGGGGACGGAGCAGGGCGACGGCGAGGUGGAGCGGCGCCGGGGACGGAACAGGGCAGCGGCACGAGUGCACGACGAGGUGGCGCCGGGGCCGAGGCGGAGCAGGUGGUGCGGCGGCGAGGCGGCGCUGGGGGAGGUCACCCGUGGAAGGCAGCGGCCGCCGUCGCUCCGCCCGACCACCUCCCGUGUGCGGCCGCCGCCGUCUCCCUCCGACCUCAACCAGUUCGGGGCCCCUCGCCCGGGAUCUGGGUACGGGAAGAGGCCGACGUUUGCGGUGCCCUGGAUCCGAAGGGGAGGGGGAAAGGCGUUCCGUGCAGAAAAUAUGUUUCAUAGUUUGCUAACAAGAAACCUUUUCUUUACCAUGUACGGUUCUGUUUUUUCCACAUUGUUUAUUUGCAAUUGAGGUACAAUUCUAUUUUUUCCACAUUGUGGCAGGAACCAGCAAGUUAGAAGCAUUUUGGUAGCUCCAUAAUGCCUUCGAAUUUAUACUUUAAUAAAUUCUAUUUGGCAAUAUUAGGUCCAAAAAUAUGCUUCAUGUUGGUAUUUUUUUACUUGCAGCCUGCUUGUCGCUAUGUCCAUGAUUAUCAUUGUAGUUUCUCUUGGUUGGACUGAUGUUUUGGGAAACUUAAUUUGCAAUGGGAAACUUCACCUUAUCGUGUGGUGCUUAUUUCCCCCAUGGAAUUUUGUUUAGCUAGCUCCAUGUUUUUGCAUUGCUCAAUCUCAAUGUCUGUGCCUAAUGCUGUUUUAACCUUUUUCUUUGCAGGUUCGGUACAUUAUUGCAAAACUGAAAGAGCUACUGUGCUAGGAGCCUUUUGCAGAUAAAUCUGAUAAAAGAUUUAGUUAGUGUUUGGCUGUUCGGUUUGCCCAUAGCCUCUAGCAAUGAGUGCAUAUAUCGGGAUCAGUGGAUGCAAGUAACAAGGAAUGGUGAUUGCAAGCAAUGAGUGUUGAUUCUACAAGGAACGGUGAUUGCAAGUAACAAGCUUGGUCUGAAGCUAUGUUCCUUUUGGAUGUACAGACCAACUUGUUAUGUCCAUGAUUAGCAUUGUAGUUUCUCUUGGUUGAUGUUUUUUUGGAAUACUUAA